AUGAACGCUGGCGGCGUGCCUAAUACCUGCAAGUCGAGCGCACAGACGAGGAGCUUGCUCCUCUGACGUUAGCGGCGGACGGGUGAGUAACACGUGGAUAACCUACCUAUAAGACUGGGAUAACUUCGGGAAACCGGAGCUAAUACCGGAUAAUAUAUUGAACCGCAUGGUUCAAUAGUGAAAGACGGUUUUGCUGUCACUUAUAGAUGGAUCCGCGCCGCAUUAGCUAGUUGGUAAGGUAACGGCUUACCAAGGCAACGAUGCGUAGCCGACCUGAGGGGGUGAUCGGCCACACUGGAACUGAGACACGGUCCAGACUCCUACGGGAGGCAGCAGUAGGGAAUCUUCCGCAAUGGGCGAAAGCCUGACGGAGCAACGCCGCGUGAGUGAUGAAGGUCUUCGGAUCGUAAAACUCUGUUAUUAGGGAAGAACAAAUGUGUAAGUAACUAUGCACGUCUUGACGGUACCUAAUCAGAAAGCCACGGCUAACUACGUG
Molecule: ribosomal RNA, 496 nt
Filed under: uncultured bacterium
Lineage: Bacteria
Description: partial 16S ribosomal RNA
Rfam family: Bacterial small subunit ribosomal RNA
Source: RNAcentral